RNAcentral lists this ribosomal RNA (86 nucleotides) under Bacillus velezensis. RNAcentral's name for it is "partial 16S ribosomal RNA". It matches the Rfam family "Bacterial small subunit ribosomal RNA", at positions 1455 to 1533 of the family's 1533-position model. Lineage: Bacteria; Bacillati; Bacillota; Bacilli; Caryophanales; Bacillaceae. The record is from RNAcentral. RNAcentral also lists the same sequence under 1 other name.
GCCGAAGGUGGGACAGAUGAUUGGGGUGAAGUCGUAACAAGGUAGCCGUAUCGGAAGGUGCGGCUGGAUCACCUCCUUUCUAAGGA